Molecule: ribosomal RNA, 2539 nt
Filed under: Escherichia coli
Lineage: Bacteria; Pseudomonadati; Pseudomonadota; Gammaproteobacteria; Enterobacterales; Enterobacteriaceae
Description: partial 23S ribosomal RNA
Rfam family: Bacterial large subunit ribosomal RNA
Source: RNAcentral
GAUGAGUAGGGCGGGACACGUGGUAUCCUGUCUGAAUAUGGGGGGACCAUCCUCCAAGGCUAAAUACUCCUGACUGACCGAUAGUGAACCAGUACCGUGAGGGAAAGGCGAAAAGAACCCCGGCGAGGGGAGUGAAAAAGAACCUGAAACCGUGUACGUACAAGCAGUGGGAGCACAGAGCAAUCUGUGUGACUGCGUACCUUUUGUAUAAUGGGUCAGCGACUUAUAUUCUGUAGCAAGGUUAACCGAAUAGGGGAGCCGAAGGGAAACCGAGUCUUAACUGGGCGUUAAGUUGCAGGGUAUAGACCCGAAACCCGGUGAUCUAGCCAUGGGCAGGUUGAAGGUUGGGUAACACUAACUGGAGGACCGAACCGACUAAUGUUGAAAAAUUAGCGGAUGACUUGUGGCUGGGGGUGAAAGGCCAAUCAAACCGGGAGAUAGCUGGUUCUCCCCGAAAGCUAUUUAGGUAGCGCCUCGUGAAUUCAUCUCCGGGGGUAGAGCACUGUUUCGGCAAGGGGGUCAUCCCGACUUACCAACCCGAUGCAAACUGCGAAUACCGGAGAAUGUUAUCACGGGAGACACACGGCGGGUGCUAACGUCCGUCGUGAAGAGGGAAACAACCCAGACCGCCAGCUAAGGUCCCAAAGUCAUGGUUAAGUGGGAAACGAUGUGGGAAGGCCCAGACAGCCAGGAUGUUGGCUUAGAAGCAGCCAUCAUUUAAAGAAAGCGUAAUAGCUCACUGGUCGAGUCGGCCUGCGCGGAAGAUGUAACGGGGCUAAACCAUGCACCGAAGCUGCGGCAGCGACACUGUGUGUUGUUGGGUAGGGGAGCGUUCUGUAAGCCUGUGAAGGUGUGCUGUGAGGCAUGCUGGAGGUAUCAGAAGUGCGAAUGCUGACAUAAGUAACGAUAAAGCGGGUGAAAAGCCCGCUCGCCGGAAGACCAAGGGUUCCUGUCCAACGUUAAUCGGGGCAGGGUGAGUCGACCCCUAAGGCGAGGCCGAAAGGCGUAGUCGAUGGGAAACAGGUUAAUAUUCCUGUACUUGGUGUUACUGCGAAGGGGGGACGGAGAAGGCUAUGUUGGCCGGGCGACGGUUGUCCCGGUUUAAGCGUGUAGGCUGGUUUUCCAGGCAAAUCCGGAAAAUCAAGGCUGAGGCGUGAUGACGAGGCACUACGGUGCUGAAGCAACAAAUGCCCUGCUUCCAGGAAAAGCCUCUAAGCAUCAGGUAACAUCAAAUCGUACCCCAAACCGACACAGGUGGUCAGGUAGAGAAUACCAAGGCGCUUGAGAGAACUCGGGUGAAGGAACUAGGCAAAAUGGUGCCGUAACUUCGGGAGAAGGCACGCUGAUAUGUAGGUGAAGUCCCUCGCGGAUGGAGCUGAAAUCAGUCGAAGAUACCAGCUGGCUGCAACUGUUUAUUAAAAACACAGCACUGUGCAAACACGAAAGUGGACGUAUACGGUGUGACGCCUGCCCGGUGCCGGAAGGUUAAUUGAUGGGGUCAGCGCAAGCGAAGCUCUUGAUCGAAGCCCCGGUAAACGGCGGCCGUAACUAUAACGGUCCUAAGGUAGCGAAAUUCCUUGUCGGGUAAGUUCCGACCUGCACGAAUGGCGUAAUGAUGGCCAGGCUGUCUCCACCCGAGACUCAGUGAAAUUGAACUCGCUGUGAAGAUGCAGUGUACCCGCGGCAAGACGGAAAGACCCCGUGAACCUUUACUAUAGCUUGACACUGAACAUUGAGCCUUGAUGUGUAGGAUAGGUGGGAGGCUUUGAAGUGUGGACGCCAGUCUGCAUGGAGCCGACCUUGAAAUACCACCCUUUAAUGUUUGAUGUUCUAACGUGGACCCGUGAUCCGGGUUGCGGACAGUGUCUGGUGGGUAGUUUGACUGGGGCGGUCUCCUCCUAAAGAGUAACGGAGGAGCACGAAGGUUGGCUAAUCCUGGUCGGACAUCAGGAGGUUAGUGCAAUGGCAUAAGCCAGCUUGACUGCGAGCGUGACGGCGCGAGCAGGUGCGAAAGCAGGUCAUAGUGAUCCGGUGGUUCUGAAUGGAAGGGCCAUCGCUCAACGGAUAAAAGGUACUCCGGGGAUAACAGGCUGAUACCGCCCAAGAGUUCAUAUCGACGGCGGUGUUUGGCACCUCGAUGUCGGCUCAUCACAUCCUGGGGCUGAAGUAGGUCCCAAGGGUAUGGCUGUUCGCCAUUUAAAGUGGUACGCGAGCUGGGUUUAGAACGUCGUGAGACAGUUCGGUCCCUAUCUGCCGUGGGCGCUGGAGAACUGAGGGGGGCUGCUCCUAGUACGAGAGGACCGGAGUGGACGCAUCACUGGUGUUCGGGUUGUCAUGCCAAUGGCACUGCCCGGUAGCUAAAUGCGGAAGAGAUAAGUGCUGAAAGCAUCUAAGCACGAAACUUGCCCCGAGAUGAGUUCUCCCUGACCCUUUAAGGGUCCUGAAGGAACGUUGAAGACGACGACGUUGAUAGGCCGGGUGUGUAAGCGCAGCGAUGCGUUGAGCUAACCGGUACUAAUGAACCGUGAGGCUUAACCUU